RNAcentral lists this ribosomal RNA (429 nucleotides) under uncultured bacterium. RNAcentral describes it as "bacterial SSU rRNA". It matches the Rfam family "Bacterial small subunit ribosomal RNA", at positions 355 to 776 of the family's 1533-position model. The record is from RNAcentral.
UGGGGAAUAUUGCACAAUGGGCGCAAGCCUGAUGCAGCCAUGCCGCGUGUGUGAAGAAGGCCUUAGGGUUGUAAAGCACUUUCAGUAAGGAGGAAAGGUUAGUAGUUAAUACCUGCUAGCUGUGACGUUACUUACAGAAGAAGCACCGGCUAACUCCGUGCCAGCAGCCGCGGUAAUACGGAGGGUGCGAGCGUUAAUCGGAAUUACUGGGCGUAAAGCGUACGCAGGCGGUUUGUUAAGCGAGAUGUGAAAGCCCCGGGCUCAACCUGGGAACUGCAUUUCGAACUGGCAAACUAGAGUAUGAUAGAGGGUGGUAGAAUUUCAGGUGUAGCGGUGAAAUGCGUAGAGAUCUGAAGGAAUACCGAUGGCGAAGGCAGCCACCUGGGUCAAUACUGACGCUCAUGUACGAAAGCGUGGGGAGCAAACGGG